This is a long non-coding RNA of Antechinus flavipes (yellow-footed antechinus), 635 nucleotides long. RefSeq lists it as uncharacterized. The transcript is spliced from 3 exons. NCBI's taxonomy places the organism in Eukaryota, Metazoa, Chordata, Mammalia, Dasyuromorphia, Dasyuridae. The record is from RefSeq and is a predicted model, not a curated record.
CUAAAUCCCUCAUAUUCCAUACGGGAAAGCAGAGACUCAAAGAAGUAGUAGUAAGUAACAGAGUCAAGCUUGAAAGUGGGAGAACUCAAUACUUUUUCUUCCCUCUGUACAACACUGCAUCUCACACCAGACUGAUCAUUCCCAGAAGUCAGAGGCCUCUGGGUAAUGUGUAAAUCACAAAAAAUACCCCUCUGAAGACAAAAGGUGGUGAUGUCACAAGGCUAGCGGGUCACAGGCUCUCCAUUUACUUACCUUAAGCUGGCUCUUUCCGAUGAUAUAAUUGGAUGUUAAUCAUGGCCUUGACAGAAACAUCAAGGAUUGGCUGGAGACAUAUAAACCUCUGCCCCAUGUUUCAGAGUUUAAAAGCUUAAAAGCUUCAGAGGGGAUUGUGUUGUGGCUCCCCUUCUGGUCUUUACACAGACUGUGGGACUUCAUGGAGCCAGCUGACUACUGAGCUAUUUGGAAACUGAAGCUGAGAGAGGUUGCCUUCCCCAGGGUCAGAUGAAACCUGGAGAACAGAAUGUCACAGGAUCAUGGAUUUGAAAGUGGAGGAGCCUCAAAAGCCAGCAAGACUAACUACCUUGUGUAACAAAUGAGGAAACCCUGACCUAGGGAGCUUAUGUGACUUCCUUUGG